CCUACGGGAUGCAGCAGUGGGGAAUAUUGCACAAUGGGGGAAACCCUGAUGCAGCGACGCCGCGUGAGUGAAGAAGGAUUUCGGUAUGUAAAGCUCUAUCAGCAGGGAAGAAGAUAGACGGUACUUGACUAAGAAGCCCCUGCUAACUACGUGCCAGCAGCCGCGGUAAUACGUAGGGGGCAAGGGUUAUCCGGAUUUACUGGGGUUAAAGGGAGCGUAGACGGCUUGACAAGUCUGAAGUGAAAGCCUGGGGCUCAAACCUGGGCUUGCUUUGGAAACUGUGGAGCUAGAGUGCUGGAGAGGUAAGUGGAAUUCGUAGUGUAGCGGUGAAAUGCGUAGAUAUUAGGAGGAACACCAGUGGCGAAGGCGGCUUACUGGACAGUAACUGACGUUGAGGCUCGAAAGCGUGGGGAGCAAACAGGAUUAGAUACCCUAGUAGUC
RNAcentral lists this ribosomal RNA (441 nucleotides) under uncultured bacterium. RNAcentral describes it as "partial 16S ribosomal RNA". It matches the Rfam family "Bacterial small subunit ribosomal RNA", at positions 338 to 795 of the family's 1533-position model. The record is from RNAcentral.